GAUGAACGCUGGCGGCGUGCCUAAUACAUGCAAGUCGAGCGAACAGAUGAGGAGCUUGCUCCUCUGACGUUAGCGGCGGACGGGUGAGUAACACGUGGAUAACCUACCUAUAAGACUGGGAUAACUUCGGGAAACCGGAGCUAAUACCGGAUAAUAUAUUGAACCGCAUGGUUCAAUAGUGAAAGACGGUUUUGCUGUCACUUAUAGAUGGAUCCGCGCCGCAUUAGCUAGUUGGUAUGGUAACGGCUUACCAAGGCAACGAUGCGUAGCCGACCUGAGAGGGUGAUCGGCCACACUGGAACUGAGACACGGUCCAGACUCCUACGGGAGGCAGCAGUAGGGAAUCUUCCGCAAUGGGCGAAAGCCUGACGGAGCAACGCCGCGUGAGUGAUGAAGGUCUUCGGAUCGUAAAACUCUGUUAUUAGGGAAGAACAAAUGUGUAAGUAACUAUGCACGUCUUGACGGUACCUAAUCAGAAAGCCACGGCUAACUACGUG
This 497-nucleotide ribosomal RNA is filed under the name uncultured bacterium. Its description in RNAcentral is "partial 16S ribosomal RNA". It matches the Rfam family "Bacterial small subunit ribosomal RNA", at positions 28 to 507 of the family's 1533-position model. The record is from RNAcentral.